UUUAGGAAACCCUAAAAAAGGUUCCUUCUCUUCUCCCUUUUUUCUUCUUUCUCUUCUAUGUUUAUGUUACAUUAUCAUUGUUAACAUAUGUAACUAAUAAGUUAUUGUUUAUUUUUAUAAGCGUUUUGAUUUUUAUGUUAUCAUCUCACUUUUUUUUUUUCAGAAACCUCAAUUCAAAGUUUGCUUUAGAUCUCAAGAAAAUAUGUUAGACUGACCAUGUACAAGAGAUGAUCCACCAAAAACAAAUGAUGCAAAAGAAAACAAAAUAGGAAGCAUGAACACAACAAAUUAAUCCCUUGACUAGCACAAAAGAGGGAGGGUAGACCACUCGUAAAACAAAGAAGAGGAAGCCUUAAAGCCAGAAAUCAUUUCCAUCCUUGAACUUUUCUAAACUCCAGAAGUGUAGAUCCAUCUUGAGACAAAGGAGAUAAAAAUCAUCCUUUCAUAAGGAUCCAAAUUUAACACUCCAAUUUUUGGUUGUAUGUUUGUUAAUAUGUGUGCACGUACAAAAUUGAUCCAUAUUUAAGCCAAAAUAUUUAAACCCUUGAAGCUACAAUUUUGGAUAAUAUUUUCUACUUCUAGAGUUUAUUCUCUCAAACAUUUAAAUGCACUUAAUUUCUCAUCAAUCCUGGAUCAAUUCUUG
RNAcentral lists this long non-coding RNA (643 nucleotides) under Cicer arietinum (chickpea). RNAcentral's name for it is "long non-coding RNA (CARI_LNC001929)". Lineage: Eukaryota; Viridiplantae; Streptophyta; Magnoliopsida; Fabales; Fabaceae. The record is from RNAcentral.